Long non-coding RNA from Micropterus salmoides (largemouth bass), 439 nucleotides. RefSeq lists it as uncharacterized. The record is from RefSeq and is a predicted model, not a curated record. The transcript is spliced from 3 exons. NCBI's taxonomy places the organism in Eukaryota, Metazoa, Chordata, Actinopteri, Centrarchiformes, Centrarchidae.
CUCAUGUGGAGAAUCACAACAUGAUCGAGGGUCUGCAGUCAGAGCUGACAAGGUUACAGGAACAUUCACACCAAGUUCUUUUGAGAGCAUAAAGUGGAGCAGUAAGGAGCAGUCUCACUCCAGUGAUUAAGUAUUGCAAUAAAAAGAAGAACAAUCCAAAUCAAAGCUGCAGAGGCAGAGAUAUCCUGAUUUCUGUCUGUAUCCUACAUUUCCCACAAUGCAACCCAAUACCAUCUUUCAUUUAGACCCUCUCUGCCUCCUAAAUACCUAAUAGUUUCAAACCCUUAACCUCCAGUUGAAGGUCUUAAGGCCAAGCAUCAUCAGGGUAGUACUUGCGGAGUACCCCUUUAACAGAGCUAUCAUGGUUUUGUAUAAAAGUUAAAUAUUUGAAAGAAGCUUUUUGGGCUAUUUCCAAGGAAGACAAAGAAUUGCAAGCCAA